CGAUGCCAGGGGCAAAAGGUCUAAGCCCACAUGAGCUUGCUCAUAAGUGGGUGAAAGACCUUGGGACCCGCCCCGAUAUGAGCAUAAAAGUGGGAUGUAUAUCCCACGAUAUGCGAAUAUCGGGUAGGAUUGUGAGAGUGCGCAGCACGGAACAAUCCGCAGGCAUCG
Molecule: small RNA, 168 nt
Organism: Lachnoclostridium sp. An118
Lineage: Bacteria; Bacillati; Bacillota; Clostridia; Lachnospirales; Lachnospiraceae
Rfam family: Clostridiales-1 RNA
Source: Rfam